AUAUCCAUUUGACUAAUGAUGCCUGUUGUCCCAGAGUUCCAUUCAGUGUGAAGAUACAAGGAAAAGAUGGCUAUCUGUAAACUUUUAUCAGAUACCACCAGAUCUGCCAGCCCUUUGAUCUUGGACUUCCCAGCUUUCAGAACUGUGAGAAAUGUCUGUUAUUUAAGCUACCUAGUCUACAGUAUUUUGUUGUGACAAUUUGUCUAAGACAGUAUUUGUCUUUUAAAAUAUGAACAGAUUAUACUAUCUACAGCAUGGUAUACAUUAGGAAUACUUAUAGUGAAGCUUAGCUCUGGGAAAGACGAAGGUAAGUUUAUCAUUAAGUAUGUUCAGCAAGUAAAAUGAUAAUCUGUAACAUUUCUUUCAUCUAGUAAAACUACAUUGAAUGUAUAUUUACUUCCGUGAAAUUUAUUGAAAUAAUAUUUACUGACAUGUCUUCAUGCUAUUACAUUCCUUGAGAGUUUAAAAAAUUGUGGAUUAUUUGUACAUUGUUUUCUGUGAUACAUUCAUUUAGGCCAAUAUCAUGUUGCCAUAGUUAAAAGUAUGUAUGUAUGUAGGCAUGUUGGGGUUAUAAUUUCUAUUAAUAUUUUCUCAAAAAUUUUAACCAAACAUACAUCAAGAGUAGAGUUAAAUGGGCUCUGUGGGUUUACGUUAACAUUUGAUCUAUAAACAUUGUAAAGCUAGUAGUAUUGAGUUUUGAUUUCCACAAUUUAGCACACUAACCAUGUUAAAUGAGCCGUAACAAGAAACAACACAUUUAUGAAUUUUUAUAUAGAAUUUAUUUAAACAUAACUACUAAUGCAAAAUGGCACAAAAAUAUUUCAAUAGUAAUUGUUCGUUUCACUUGGUAUGGUGGCUAUUAAUAUAAAUUAGAACAUAAAACAAUUACUGAGGCAGUCGCACUAAUUUCUGCGCAUUAACGCGACCAAUCAAUCAAAUGCUUGAGGUGAAACAAACCUGGGUUCAAGCCCAUUAGUUUGUUAUAUUUUUGAUACUAAAUUAGCCAGCUAUUAACUGAAGCACAAACUAGAUAACAAUCAUCAGUUUAGCCAUAGAUUUUGUGUGUUUAUGUGCAUGGAUGUUGAAAAAUCUUACAUAUAGUCUUCCAAGCUAACAUAGAUGUUCAGUAAAUUAAAUGGAAUUUUAGGGUCUAAAUAGUAUUUAAACUUGUAUAGGGUAAAAUAAAAAUAUAACUAAAAAUUAUUGACAAUAUUUUCACUCUCAAAAGUUUGUUUACAUUUGUAAUCCAUCAGUCCUACCCCCACCAACUAAUUAACAGACAAUUGCUAGUAUGUUAAUACACACUGCUAAGACCAGCUUGGUUGUGGAGAUCCUAAUCCAGCAAGGCUAGAGGAAUUAAAGACACACACACAGAAAUAUAAAGUGUGGAGUAGGAAAUCAGGGGGCUGACAGCCUUCAGAGCUGAGAGCCUCGAACAGAGUUUUACCCACAUAUUUACUGACAGCAAGCCAGUGAUAAGCAUUGUUUCUAUAGAUUAUAGAUUAACUAAAAGUAUUCCUUAUGGGAAACAAAGGGAUGGGCCAAAACAAAGGGAUAGGCUUUGACUAGUUAUCUGCAGCAGGAACAUGUCUUUAAGGCACAGAUUGCUCAUACUAUUGUUUGUGGUUUAGGAACGCCUUAAGCCAUUUUCUGUCCUGGGUGGGCCAGGUGUUCAUUGCCCUCAUUCUGGUAAACCCACAACCUUCAGCGUGGGCAUCAUGGCCAUCACGUACAUGUCACAGUGCUGGCAGAGAUUUUGUUUAUGGCCAGUUUAUGGCCAGAUUUGGGGGCCUGUUCCCAACAACAUACUAAUUUGAAUUUUCUAGAAUUAUGUAUAUAAUGAAAUUUAUAUAUAUAGUAUUUAUAAACAUUAAACUUUUAAAUAUUAAACUUUUAACCUUCUUUUUUUUGUUAUGUAUAAUUAUUUUGAGAUUUAUC
Molecule: long non-coding RNA, 1938 nt
Filed under: Homo sapiens (human)
Lineage: Eukaryota; Metazoa; Chordata; Mammalia; Primates; Hominidae
Description: HSALNT0180475
Source: RNAcentral